AUGGGAACGCGAAGAACCUUACCUAGACUUGACAUCUCCUGAAUAGUGUAGAGAUACACGAAGCCCUUCGGGCGAGGAAGACAGGUGGUGCAUGGUUGUCGUCAGCUCGUGUCGUGAGAUGUUGGGUUAAGUCCCGCAACGAGCACAACCCUUAUUACUAGUUGCUACCAUUAAGUUGAGCACUCUAGUGAGACUGCCCGGGUUAACCGGGAGGAAGGCGGGAUGACGUCAAAUCAUCAUGCCCCUUAUGUCUAGGGCAACACACGUGCUACAAUGGUGAGUACAGAUAGAUGCGAUACCGCAAGGUGGAGCCAAACUCUAAAACUCAUCCCAGUUCGGAUUGUAGGCUGCAACUCGCCUACAUGAAGUUGGAGUUGCUAGUAAUCGCGAAUCAGAAUGUCGCGGUGAAUACGUUCCCGGGUCUUGUACACACCG
RNAcentral lists this ribosomal RNA (435 nucleotides) under uncultured bacterium. RNAcentral describes it as "bacterial SSU rRNA". It matches the Rfam family "Bacterial small subunit ribosomal RNA", at positions 954 to 1392 of the family's 1533-position model. The record is from RNAcentral.